AUACGUAGGGGGCGAGCGUUGUCCGGAAUGAUUGGGCGUAAAGGGCGCGUAGGCGGCCCGGUAAGUCUGGAGUGAAAGUCCUGUUUUUAAGGUGGGAAUUGCUUUGGAUACUGUCGGGCUUGAGUGCAGGAGAGGUAAGUGGAAUUCCCAGUGUAGCGGUGAAAUGCGUAGAGAUUGGGAGGAACACCAGUGGCGAAGGCGACUUACUGGACUGUAACUGACGCUGAGGCGCGAAAGUGUGGGGAGCAAACAGGAUUAGAUACCCUGGUAGUCCACACCGUAAACGAUGAAUGCUAGGUGUAGGGGGUAUCGACCCCUUCUGUGCCGCAGUCAACACAAUAAGCAUUCCGCCUGGGGAGUACGGCCGCAAGGUUGAAACUCAAAUGAAUUGACGGG
This 396-nucleotide ribosomal RNA is filed under the name uncultured bacterium. RNAcentral's name for it is "partial 16S ribosomal RNA". It matches the Rfam family "Bacterial small subunit ribosomal RNA", at positions 523 to 917 of the family's 1533-position model. The record is from RNAcentral.